GUUACUAUUAUCCAGAACCUUAUUUCCAAGUUAUGAUUUGUGGUUUCUGUUCUCUAUAUUCUUUUUAAUAAAUUUACAUAUUAUUACACCUUGACCGUCUGAAUUGGAUUAAAUUUUGCAUCAGUUAAUGGAGGCACUGCUGGGAUACUGAUCGAUCCGUUGAAGUAUAUUUGAUGCAUCGCAAGGAAAGAUAAAGAGAGGUGAGUUGCUCAUCUAAUUCUCUUUAUGGGCUUCUGUUGUGCAAACCUGCCGAGCUAUAUCUGCGGACCCAUUUCGUUCAUUUUUCUUGACUGCAGCAAGAGAACGAAUUUGGGGCGGUACGGUGGUUUAACCGUGUGUGAGGAAUGAGUGUGCGCUCUGUGUUUGAGAACGGCGAUUUGCAGCAUUAAAUGUGUUGUUCACUGAAGGGGUUUACCGACAGUGUGGAUAAUUCUGCGUAGCAAGUACACUUUGCGGGGUUUACCGGAGGUGUAUUGCGGGCGCUUUCAGGGUUUACUGAAGUGCAACAGUUUUUUGAGACACGCGCUGUCAGGGAUUACUGCAGCGUGCUGGUCAGAUCUGUAUGUCGAUUCUCUGUUUUGAUAUAGGCUCUGGGAUGGACUCGGCACUCCUAACGAAGCUCUCACUGCUCAAGUACCGAUGUUAGGCAUCGGAAAUAAAGAAAAGAUUAAACAGAAAAUGGCUAAAGAUGAAUUUAAAGAAAUAUGGGGUCCGUAGGCAGUGUGAAUGGGGGUGAUGAAGGAAGAUAAUAAGAUAAUGAUCCUAAGAAACAAAAUAAAUAUGCACAAGUUUUGUGUUGUUUGAGGACUGUGCAAGCAAAAGUUCUUUUAACAUAUCGCAAUGGAAGAAUAGUUUAUGUGGAUAAACUGGCACAAGCCGCUAGAGAUGCUACACAAGAUAUGUGGGAUUUAUUAGACGUUGUAACUAAGAAGACAAGAGCAGAUACAGGGAGAGUCCCUAAAAUCGAUGAUAUUUAUAGCUGAAUAUGCUUCAAAACUGAAAGCAGCGAUUGCCAAGGCAGGGAGACAUGUGACGAAUGUUUCUGAAAACGGUGGUAUACAGGUUGCAGCUAUUUCUCCUGGGCACCUGGAGGAAACUGAGGAUGAGUGGGGCGAGUAUGUGAAACGGUGUCCAAAAUUACCCCGCUAUAGUGAAAUAGAUCAGGAAUUGACGGCGGCUGGUCAAGUGGGGGUUUAUCAAUCCAUGGGUGUGCGAGAUUUGACUAGUAUUGUAAAUACACUGCCACUCAUGAAAUCUAACAGUACCAAUUCUGAAUUUUGGGAUCGUUUGUGGGUAAUGGCAAGAGCCAACCGCCUAGCAGUAAAAGAUAAAAGAUCCGUAUUCAAUUUGGGAGCAAGUCUGCCCGUCUACAUACACGGGACAGAUCAUCUCACCCCUCAUUUACAGCCACCAGCGAAUGCAGAUGAUUACACAACUCAGUACAGAGUGCUGCGUACUGAAGUACAGCGUGCAGUUGGAAAUGGAAUUCAAACUUUCACUAAUGUGACAAUGAUUAGGCAGGGUCCUAAUGAACCAUUUGUUGAUUACACUGAGCGAUUCACAAAGGCACUGAAAGAAUUUGUGGCCGCACGAUGGGGGCCUGACUUAGAAUCUCCAAUCAUUCUCCAUACUGCGCAGUUAAAUAUGAAUGCUAAAUUUACACAGUUGUUUCAUUCUUCUCUGUCAACAAUUAUUGACUGAUCUUCUUUUGUUGCAUGGGGGACACGGGCUCAAGACAUCGUGGAACAACAAAAGAAGGGACUGGUUGCUGCAGUUGGUCAGACCUCUGCUCCAGCAUUUCGUUGUUAUCAUUGCCAGCGCGAUGGUCACUACGCAAACAGGUGCCCUGAUCGAAAUUUAGAGCUUUCAGAAAGCCUAGUUCCUCUUUUCAACAACAGCAGACACCAAAACCACUUCCUCGAGAUCGUGCUAAAAAUAACCCUGGUGCAGAGAAGCAGGGUGCUGACCUGGAAGCAGGUUGAAAAACUGACAAGAGCUUUUGAGAAUACAGACUGACAGAUAGUGGCCUUCAUUUUAUAUGAGCACGAAGACCCUCAUCCAUUUUUACAUUCUAACUUAUGAAGCCAGGAUAGCUACAUUCUUGUGGGCCCCCGGGUCUGCAUCUCAGUAACUGUUAUUAAUUUGCCUUUAACAAACAAACAAAUGUAUCUUCAAGGUAUAUCUGGUCGCAGUCUUUUCACACAGUCUCUAUUGAUUCCUAUAAUAAUAUAUCCAUUUGAACAGCCUUUUUGUGUGCAAUUCUGGGUUGGACAAAGCCAAGUUGGCAUGGCAAUGGGAAUGGAUAUAUUGAGUAAAUUGGAAGCAGAUGUUUUGCUGACUAGGGGUCAAUUAAUUAGUCAGUAUUUACCAAUUCCCAUACCAGUGUUUAAUAAAACUGGAACUCCUAAAUUAAGCCUUGGAGCUAUCACAGCUAAUGAAAAGGAGUCUACUGAUUCCUCAGUGAUACAAUAUUUCGCUGAGAAAUUUCCAAAUUUGUGGUCAACUUCUAAACAUGAUGUUGGUCUUUGCAGGAUUGAACUUUGAAUGUUUCAGGUCCUAUACAUCCUCCAGUAUUUCAGUAUCCUCUUCGGAGAGAAGCAAAGAGAGCUGCACGGGAAAUUGUGAACCAGCUUCAGGAAUCAGGGAUUUUGGUAAGGUGUACUUCCUCAAUGAACUUACCUAUGCAGCCUGUGUGAAAAAAAUAAAUAAAUAAAAAGCCAGAUGGUAGCUAUAGGUUAACUAUAGACUACACCACACUGAAUGCUGUGACUCCUAAAAUAACUCCUAUUGUUGCUAAUCCGUCAACCAUUCUUAAUGAUAUUUCUCCAAACCAUCGCUAUUUUAGCGCAGUAGACAUAACCAAUGGUUUUUGGUCUUGUCCUAUCAGAGAAGAAGAUCAAUACAGAUUUGCCUUUCAAUAUUGUGACGACAUUCUUCUCACAUCUCAAGAUAAAGCACAACACUUGAGUGGACUCACUCAGUUGUUGAAAAUACUCCAAGAGGCGGGUUUCCUCUUGAACAAACGAAGGGUCCAAUUGUUUCAAUUGGAAGUUAAAUUUUUAGGUCAAAGUAUAGGUCGUGAGGGAAAGAAACCUCUUCCAGAC
Cyprinus carpio (common carp) is the source of this 3104-nucleotide long non-coding RNA. RefSeq lists it as uncharacterized. The transcript has 2 exons. Lineage: Eukaryota; Metazoa; Chordata; Actinopteri; Cypriniformes; Cyprinidae. The record is from RefSeq and is a predicted model, not a curated record.